This is a long non-coding RNA of Oryctolagus cuniculus (rabbit), 1032 nucleotides long. The record is from Ensembl. Lineage: Eukaryota; Metazoa; Chordata; Mammalia; Lagomorpha; Leporidae.
AUGCCCCAACCUGCAUUUCCCAGUCUAAUGAUAAACUCCCUAUCUUUUUUUCAACUGUGCAGGAAAUGUGACAUUGGCUCCACAAAUCAACAAAGCGUCAAAAUAUCUCUACCUAAAGAGUAUCCAAAAAACUUGCCAGGCAGCCCUGUGGGCUUACUUCCGAAGACUUUGCUCUGCCCAGGAAUCUUAUCACAAGGAAAUGAACAGCAAAAACCCAGACAAACGCGAUAAGGCACACUCGCAAGAUACUGAUGCAGUCAUGAGAGGCAGCUUUUCUUCAAGACCCUAAGGUGUCCUGAGUGCUGCCCCAAGGUGAGUAGUCACGUAAGCCAUCUUCAGCAAGAGGGCAGGAAGAACAAUGUCUUUCAAGGUUAUCAUAGUUCAUGGUCAACCACAAUUAGUAUCACACGAAAGAAGGUGAAUUCCGAGCUGUGUAUGUUGCAACAGGAGAGACGUUUUAUUUGGAAGUCAUGUGAAAAUAUGUAAAGAACAAUCUUUCGGCCGGCACCGCAGCUCACUAGGCUAAUCCUCCGCCUGCGGCGCUGGCACCCCAGGUUCUAGUCGCAGUCAGGGCACCGGAUUCUGUCUGGGUCGCUCCUCUUCCAGUCCAGCUCUCUGCUGUGGCCCGGGAGUGCAGUGGAGGAUGGCCCAAGUGCUUGGGCCCUGCACCCGCAUGGGAGACCAGGAGAAGCACCUGGCCUGGAUUGGCACAGCGUGCCAGCUGUGGCGGCUAUUUGUGGGGUGAACCAACGGAAGAAAGACCUUUCUCUCUGUCUCUCCCUCUCACUGUCCACUCUGCCUGUCACCAAAAAAAAAAAAAAACCCCACAAUCUUUCAAAACACUUCCACAGAACACAUCCUUGAAUUGUAUAAGACUUUAAUAAGACUUUAUUUGGAGAUCAUUCAUCUGCAUAAUCUGAAAUCACAUUUUCUAUUGAUAAUCAAUUUUUAAAACUCUUUUUCUGAUCUUUGAUUAUGGAUCAACAACAAAAGAUCAAUCUUACUUUAAAAUAAAAAAAAAUAGCCCAUUCA